Molecule: transfer RNA, 72 nt
Organism: Ophiophagus hannah (king cobra)
Lineage: Eukaryota; Metazoa; Chordata; Lepidosauria; Squamata; Elapidae
Rfam family: tRNA
About the family: Transfer RNA (tRNA) molecules are approximately 80 nucleotides in length. Their secondary structure includes four short double-helical elements and three loops (D, anti-codon, and T loops). Further hydrogen bonds mediate the characteristic L-shaped molecular structure. tRNAs have two regions of fundamental functional importance: the anti-codon, which is responsible for specific mRNA codon recognition, and the 3' end, to which the tRNAs corresponding amino acid is attached (by aminoacyl-tRNA synthetases). tRNAs cope with the degeneracy of the genetic code in two manners: having more than one tRNA (with a specific anti-codon) for a particular amino acid; and 'wobble' base-pairing, i.e. permitting non-standard base-pairing at the 3rd anti-codon position.
Source: Rfam
GCCAGUGUAACCUAGUGGUUAAGGUGCCAGGCUAGAAACCAGGAGAUUGUGAGUUCUAGUCCUGCUUGGGCA